This 469-nucleotide ribosomal RNA is filed under the name Bactrocera endiandrae. Its description in RNAcentral is "partial 16S ribosomal RNA". The record is from RNAcentral. Lineage: Eukaryota; Metazoa; Arthropoda; Insecta; Diptera; Tephritidae.
UAGUUUUUUUAGAAAUAAAUUUAAUUUACAAAUUUUUGAUUUUUUGAUUAUUUAUUUAAUUGAAAAAUUUAUUUAUUUGAAUAUCUUAAGGGAUAAGCUUUAAGAUAAAUUAUUAAAAAUUAAUAUUGAUAGUAUAAAAUGUAUGCUUAGAAUUAGCAAUCAUUAUGAAAUUUGUUAUAAAUUAUUUUAUGGUAUAUAUUAUUUAUUAUGUUUUAAUUUAUUUAUAAAAAUUUUUUUAUUAAUAAAGGAUAAAAAGAAAUAAUGAUAGAAUUAGUAUAUAUUUUUGUUUAUGUAAUUUUGUAUGAUAAGUUUGUAUAAAGAACUCGGCAAAAAUUUUACCCGCCUGUUUAACAAAAACAUGUCUUUUUGAGUUAUUUUUAAAGUCUGACCUGCCCACUGAAGUUUAUUUAAAUGGCCGCAGUAUUCUAACUGUGCAAAGGUAGCAUAAUCAUUAGUCUUUUAAUUGAAG